GCGGCGGACGGGUGAGUAACACGUGGGCAACCUGCCCUGCAGACUGGGAUAACUUCGGGAAACCGGAGCUAAUACCGGAUAACACCGAAAACCGCAUGGUUUUCGGUUGAAAGGCGGCUUUUAGCUGUCACUGCAGGAUGGGCCCGCGGCGCAUUAGCUAGUUGGUGAGGGUAACGGCUCACCAAGGCGACGAUGCGUAGCCGACCUGAGAGGGUGACCGGCCACACUGGGACUGAGACACGGCCCAGACUCCUACGGGAGGCAGCAGUAGGGAAUCUUCCGCAAUGGACGAAAGUCUGACGGAGCAACGCCGCGUGAGCGAAGAAGGUCUUCGGAUCGUAAAGCUCUGUUGUCAGGGAAGAACAAGUGCCGUUCGAACAGGGCGGUACCUUGACGGUACCUGACGAGGAAGCCACGGCUAACUACGUGCCAGCAGCCGCGGUAAUAC
RNAcentral lists this ribosomal RNA (448 nucleotides) under Aeribacillus sp. E08D030. RNAcentral's name for it is "bacterial SSU rRNA". It matches the Rfam family "Bacterial small subunit ribosomal RNA", at positions 95 to 526 of the family's 1533-position model. The record is from RNAcentral. RNAcentral also lists the same sequence under 1 other name. Lineage: Bacteria; Bacillati; Bacillota; Bacilli; Caryophanales; Bacillaceae.